AACAAUUUCCCCCUUUUUGAUAAUGGCAAACCAAUAUCGGGAUAUGCAUAAGAUAAGUAUAAUUUCCCCCAUAAGUAUAAGUUCCCCCUCAAUUUAUGCCAAUAUGAAUUAGUAUGCAUAGCCCUUAUUCUUCCCCCUUUUGACAUUAGCAAAAAUAAUGACCUUUCAUUAAAAAUAUUAAACAUACAUGAGAAAGCAAGAAAAAUAGACAGAAUAUAAUUC
Molecule: long non-coding RNA, 222 nt
Filed under: Nicotiana benthamiana
Lineage: Eukaryota; Viridiplantae; Streptophyta; Magnoliopsida; Solanales; Solanaceae
Description: long non-coding RNA (NBEN_LNC000758)
Source: RNAcentral